Molecule: ribosomal RNA, 253 nt
Filed under: uncultured bacterium
Lineage: Bacteria
Description: partial 16S ribosomal RNA
Rfam family: Bacterial small subunit ribosomal RNA
Source: RNAcentral
UACGUAGGGACCGAGCGUUGUCCGGAUUCAUUGGGCGUAAAGAGCUCGUAGGCGGCUUGUCACGUCGGGUGUGAAAGCCCGGGGCUUAACCCCGGGUCUGCAUUCGAUACGGGCAGGCUAGAGUGUGGUAGGGGAGAUCGGAAUUCCUGGUGUAGCGGUGAAAUGCGCAGAUAUCAGGAGGAACACCGGUGGCGAAGGCGGAUCUCUGGGCCAUUACUGACGCUGAGGAGCGAAAGCGUGGGGAGCGAACAGG